CCGCGUGUGUGAUGAAGGUCUGAGGGUUGUAAAGCACUUUCAAUAGGGAGGAAAACCUGCCGGUUAAUAGCCGGUAGCUUGACAUUACCUAUAGAAGAAGCACCGGCUAACUCCGUGCCAGCAGCCGCGGUAAUACGGAGGGUGCGAGCGUUAAUCGGAAUUACUGGGCGUAAAGCGUACGUAGGCGGUUAAUUAAGUCAGAUGUGAAAGCCCCGGGCUUAACUUGGGAACUGCAUUUGAAACUGGUUAACUAGAGUUGAGUAGAGGGGAGUGGAAUUUCAGGUGUAGCGGUGAAAUGCGUAGAUAUCUGAAGGAACACCAGUGGCGAAGGCGACUCCCUGGACUCAAACUGACGCUGAGGUACGAAAGCGUGGGUAGCAAACAGGAUUAGAUACCCUGGUAGUCCACGCCGUAAACGAUGUCAACUAGCCGUUGGAUCAAACUAUGACUUAGUGGUGCAGCUAACGCAUUAAGUUGACCGCCUGGGGAGUACGGCCGCAAGGUUAAAACUCAAAUGAAUUGACGGGGGCCCGCACAAGCGGUGGAGCAUGUGGUUUAAUUCGAUGCAACGCGAAGAACCUUACCUACCCUUGACAUCCUCAGAACUUGUUAGAGAUAACUUGGUGCCUUCGGGAACUGAGUGACAGGUGCUGCAUGGCUGUCGUCAGCUCGUGUCGUGAGAUGUUGGGUUAAGUCCCGUAACGAGCGCAACCCUUAUCCCUAGUUGCCAGCACAUAAUGGUGGGAACUCUAAGGAGACUGCCGGUGAUAAACCGGAGGAAGGUGGGGACGACGUCAAGUCAUCAUGGCCCUUAUGGGUAGGGCUACACACGUGCUACAAUGGCCGGUACAGAGGGCAGCGACCUCGUGAGAGCAAGCAAAUCUCAGAAAGCCGGUCUUAGUCCGGAUUGCAGUCU
RNAcentral lists this ribosomal RNA (916 nucleotides) under uncultured bacterium. RNAcentral's name for it is "bacterial SSU rRNA". It matches the Rfam family "Bacterial small subunit ribosomal RNA", at positions 397 to 1306 of the family's 1533-position model. The record is from RNAcentral.